GAUUAACGCUGGCGGCGUGCCUAACACAUGCAAGUCGAGCGGCAGCGAGUUUUACACUGACUUCUGGAAGCUUCUAGUUGAAAGAGAAGAUUUAUUCAAGAAUUUUGUGUAAAAUGUCGGCGAGCGGCGGACGGCUGAGUAACGCGUGGGAACGUACCCCAAAGUGAGGGAUAACGCAUCGAAAGGUGUGCUAAUACCGCAUAUGGUCUUCGGAUUAAAGCCUUCGGGCGCUUUGGGAACGGCCUGCGUAAGAUUAGAUAGUUGGUGGGGUAAUGGCCUACCAAGUCGACGAUCUUUAACUGGUUUGAGAGGAUGAUCAGUCAGACUGGAACUGAGACACGGUCCAGACUCCUACGGGAGGCAGCAGUGAGGAAUCGUCCACAAUGGGCGAAAGCCUGAUGGAGCAACGCCGCGUGCAGGAUGAAGGCCUUCGGGUUGUAAACUGCUUUUAUAAGUGAGGAUUAUGACAGUAACUUAUGAAUAAGGAUCGGCUAACUACGUG
This 502-nucleotide ribosomal RNA is filed under the name uncultured bacterium. Its description in RNAcentral is "partial 16S ribosomal RNA". It matches the Rfam family "Bacterial small subunit ribosomal RNA", at positions 28 to 507 of the family's 1533-position model. The record is from RNAcentral.